RNAcentral lists this ribosomal RNA (429 nucleotides) under Fusobacteriota bacterium. Its description in RNAcentral is "Fusobacteria bacterium partial 16S ribosomal RNA". It matches the Rfam family "Bacterial small subunit ribosomal RNA", at positions 355 to 776 of the family's 1533-position model. The record is from RNAcentral. Lineage: Bacteria; Fusobacteriati; Fusobacteriota.
UGGGGAAUAUUGCGCAAUGGGCGAAAGCCUGACGCAGCGACGCCGCGUGAGGGAUGAAGGUUUUCGGAUCGUAAACCUCUGUCAGAAGGGAAGAAACCGCACUGUGCUAAUCAGCAGUGCCUUGACGGUACCUUCAAAGGAAGCACCGGCUAACUCCGUGCCAGCAGCCGCGGUAAUACGGAGGGUGCAAGCGUUAAUCGGAAUUACUGGGCGUAAAGCGCACGUAGGCUGCUUUGUAAGUCAGGGGUGAAAUCCCACGGCUCAACCGUGGAACGGCCUUGGAUACUGCUUAGCUUGAAUCCGGGAGAGGGUGGCGGAAUUCCAGGUGUAGGAGUGAAAUCCGUAGAUAUCUGGAGGAACAUCAGUGGCGAAGGCGGCCACCGGGACCGGUAUUGACGCUGAGGUGCGAAAGCGUGGGGAGCAAACAGG